This 484-nucleotide ribosomal RNA is filed under the name uncultured bacterium. RNAcentral describes it as "partial 16S ribosomal RNA". It matches the Rfam family "Bacterial small subunit ribosomal RNA", at positions 30 to 507 of the family's 1533-position model. The record is from RNAcentral.
AUUGAACGCUGGCGGCAGGCCUAACACAUGCAAGUCGAGCGGAUGAAGGGAGCUUGCUCCUGGAUUCAGCGGCGGACGGGUGAGUAAUGCCUAGGAAUCUGCCUGGUAGUGGGGGAUAACGUCCGGAAACGGGCGCUAAUACCGCAUACGUCCUGAGGGAGAAAGUGGGGGAUCUUCGGACCUCACGCUAUCAGAUGAGCCUAGGUCGGAUUAUCUAGUUGGUGGGGUAAAGGCCUACCAAGGCGACGAUCCGUAACUGGUAUGAGAGGAUGAUCAGUCACACUGGAACUGAGACACGGUCCAGACUCCUACGGGAGGCAGCAGUGGGGAAUAUUGGACAAUGGGCGAAAGCAUGAUACAGCAAUGCCGCGUGUGUGAAGAAGGUCUUCGGAUUGUAAAGCACUUUAAGUGGGGAGGAAGGGAAGUAAGUUAAUACCUUGCUGUUUUGACGUUAACAACAGAAUAAGCACCGGCUAACUUCGUG